CUACGGGGUGCUGCAGCGAGGAAUAUUGCACAAUGGGGGGAACCCUGAUGCAGCAACGCCGCGUGGAGGAUGACGCAUUUCGGUGUGUAAACUCCUUUUAUAUGUCAAGAAAAUGACGGUAGCAUAUGAAUAAGCACCGGCUAACUCCGUGCCAGCAGCCGCGGUAAUACGGAGGGUGCAAGCGUUACUCGGAAUCACUGGGCGUAAAGGACGCGUAGGCGGGUUGGAAAGUCAGGUGUGAAAUCCUACAGCUUAACUGUAGAACUGCACUUGAAACUUCUAAUCUAGAGUAUGGGAGGGGGCGAUGGAAUUAGUGGUGUAGGGGUAAAAUCCGUAGAUAUCACUAGGAAUACCUAAAGCGAAGGCGAUCUCCUGGAACAUUACUGACGCUAAGGCGUGAAAGCGUGGGGAGCAAACAGGAUUAGAUACCCUAGUAGUC
RNAcentral lists this ribosomal RNA (439 nucleotides) under uncultured bacterium. RNAcentral describes it as "partial 16S ribosomal RNA". It matches the Rfam family "Bacterial small subunit ribosomal RNA", at positions 339 to 795 of the family's 1533-position model. The record is from RNAcentral.